AGAGUUUGAUCCUGGCUCAGGAUGAACGCCCUUGGUGUGCCUAAUACAUGCAAGUCGUACGCACUGGCCCAACUGAUUGAUGGUGCUUGCACCUGAUUGACGAUGGAUCACCAGUGAGUGGCGGACGGGUGAGUAACACGUAGGUAACCUGCCCCGGAGCGGGGGAUAACAUUUGGAAACAGAUGCUAAUACCGCAUAACAACAAAAGCCACAUGGCUUUUGUUUGAAAGAUGGCCUUGGCUAUCACUCUGGGAUGGACCUGCGGUGCAUUAGCUAGUUGGUAAGGUAACGGCUUACCAAGGCGAUGAUGCAUAGCCGAGUUGAGAGACUGAUCGGCCACAAUGGAACUGAGACACGGUCCAUACUCCUACGGGAGGCAGCAGUAGGGAAUCUUCCACAAUGGACGAAAGUCUGAUGGAGCAACGCCGCGUGAGUGAAGAAGGGUUUCGGCUCGUAAAGCUCUGUUGGUAGUGAAGAAAGAUAGAGGUAGUAACUGGCCUUUAUUUGACGGUAAUUACUUAGAAAGUCACGGCUAACUACGUGCCAGCAGCCGCGGUAAUACGUAGGUGGCAAGCGUUGUCCGGAUUUAUUGGGCGUAAAGCGAGUGCAGGCGGUUCAAUAAGUCUGAUGUGAAAGCCUUCGGCUCAACCGGAGAAUUGCAUCAGAAACUGUUGAACUUGAGUGCAGAAGAGGAGAGUGGAACUCCAUGUGUAGCGGUGGAAUGCGUAGAUAUAUGGAAGAACACCAGUGGCGAAGGCGGCUCUCUGGUCUGCAACUGACGCUGAGGCUCGAAAGCAUGGGUAG
Molecule: ribosomal RNA, 804 nt
Filed under: uncultured bacterium
Lineage: Bacteria
Description: bacterial SSU rRNA
Rfam family: Bacterial small subunit ribosomal RNA
Source: RNAcentral